CCAUGUUGCGCCGUAGAAUGGAACAGCUGAUAAAACCCAAAACCAGAAAGUGUCUCUUCCACACAUUGCAGUGCUACCAAAAGCCAUACUUUCAAAUGCACAUGCAAGCGCAUCACAUCCAUGGUCAAAAAGUUCUCCCCGAGGAGCUUGUCCGUCGUGCUUGCUUCCCAUCAACAGCAUCAAAAGUCUGAUAUAAAAAUAGAAGUAAUCCAUGUGCAAAGUGAACCCAUCUUGGAGGAGCUGUAUCCAAGCGAGGCGAAUAUAUAUAGCCGAGCAAUGCAGAAG
Molecule: unclassified non-coding RNA, 285 nt
Filed under: Hevea brasiliensis (rubber tree)
Lineage: Eukaryota; Viridiplantae; Streptophyta; Magnoliopsida; Malpighiales; Euphorbiaceae
Source: RNAcentral